This 502-nucleotide ribosomal RNA is filed under the name Veillonella parvula. RNAcentral's name for it is "bacterial SSU rRNA". It matches the Rfam family "Bacterial small subunit ribosomal RNA", at positions 28 to 501 of the family's 1533-position model. The record is from RNAcentral. Lineage: Bacteria; Bacillati; Bacillota; Negativicutes; Veillonellales; Veillonellaceae.
GACGAACGCUGGCGGCGUGCUUAACACAUGCAAGUCGAACGAAGAGCGACGGAAGCUUGCCUCUAUCAAUCUUAGUGGCGAACGGGUGAGUAACGCGUAAUCAACCUGCCCUUCAGAGGGGGACAACAGUUGGAAACGACUGCUAAUACCGCAUACGAUCUAAUCUCGGCAUCGAGGAUGGAUGAAAGGUGGCCUCUACAUGUAAGCUAUCACUGAAGGAGGGGAUUGCGUCUGAUUAGCUAGUUGGAGGGGUAACGGCCCACCAAGGCGAUGAUCAGUAGCCGGUCUGAGAGGAUGAACGGCCACAUUGGGACUGAGACACGGCCCAGACUCCUACGGGAGGCAGCAGUGGGGAAUCUUCCGCAAUGGACGAAAGUCUGACGGAGCAACGCCGCGUGAGUGAUGACGGCCUUCGGGUUGUAAAGCUCUGUUAAUCGGGACGAAAGGCCUUCUUGCGAAUAGUGAGAAGGAUAGACGGACCGGAAUAGAAGCCACGCAUUCC